GCACUUUUGUUAGGGAUUGAUU
This 22-nucleotide microRNA is filed under the name Panagrellus redivivus. RNAcentral describes it as "prd-miR-7935-3p". Lineage: Eukaryota; Metazoa; Nematoda; Chromadorea; Rhabditida; Panagrolaimidae. The record is from miRBase by way of RNAcentral.